AUUGAACGCUGGCGGCAGGCUUAACACAUGCAAGUCGAGCGGGGUGAUGGUGCUUGCACUAUCACUUAGCGGCGGACGGGUGAGUAAUGCUUAGGAAUCUGCCUAUUAGUGGGGGACAACAUCUCGAAAGGGAUGCUAAUACCGCAUACAUCCUACGGGAGAAAGCAGGGGAUCACUUGUGACCUUGCGCUAAUAGAUGAGCCUAAGUCGGAUUAGCUAGUUGGUGGGGUGAAGGGCUACCAAGGCGACGAUCUGUAGCGGGUCUGAGAGGAUGAUCCGCCACACUGGGACUGAGACACGGCCCAGACUCCUACGGGAGGCAGCAGUGGGGAAUAUUGGACAAUGGGGGGAACCCUGAUCCAGCCAUGCCGCGUGUGUGAAGAAGGCCUUAUGGUUGUAAAGCACUUUAAGCGAGGAGGAGGCUCUUUUGGUUAAUACCCAUGAUGAGUGGACGUUACUCGCAGAAUAAGCACCGGCUAACUCUGUGCCAGCAGCCGCCGUAA
This 503-nucleotide ribosomal RNA is filed under the name uncultured bacterium. Its description in RNAcentral is "partial 16S ribosomal RNA". It matches the Rfam family "Bacterial small subunit ribosomal RNA", at positions 30 to 523 of the family's 1533-position model. The record is from RNAcentral.